Molecule: transfer RNA, 62 nt
Filed under: Notodoris gardineri
Lineage: Eukaryota; Metazoa; Mollusca; Gastropoda; Nudibranchia; Polyceridae
Description: tRNA-Leu
Source: RNAcentral
UGUGAAAUGGCAGAAUAAUGCGUAAAUCUUAAGAGUUUAUUAUGGCAAUAUGCCUUUCACCA